GACGAACGCUGGCGGCGUGCCUAAUACAUGCAAGUUGAGCGCUGAAGGUUGGUACUUGUACCGACUGGAUGAGCAGCGAACGGGUGAGUAACGCGUGGGGAAUCUGCCUUUGAGCGGGGGACAACAUUUGGAAACGAAUGCUAAUACCGCAUAAAAACUUUAAACACAAGUUUUAAGUUUGAAAGAUGCAAUUACAUCACUCAAAGAUGAUCCCGCGUUGUAUUAGCUAGUUGGUGAGGUAAAGGCUCACCAAGGCGAUGAUACAUAGCCGACCUGAGAGGGUGAUCGGCCACAGUGGGACUGAGACACGGCCCAAACUCCUACGGGAGGCAGCAGUAGGGAAUCUUCGGCAAUGGACGAAAGUCUGACCGAGCAACGCCGCGUGAGUGAAGAAGGGUUUCGGAUCGUAAAACUCUGUUGGUAGAGAAGAACGUUGGUGAGAGUGGAAAGCUCAUCAAGUGACGGUAACUACCCAGAAAGGGACGGCUAACUACGUG
This 497-nucleotide ribosomal RNA is filed under the name uncultured bacterium. RNAcentral's name for it is "partial 16S ribosomal RNA". It matches the Rfam family "Bacterial small subunit ribosomal RNA", at positions 28 to 507 of the family's 1533-position model. The record is from RNAcentral.